UGGGGAAUUUUGCACAAUGGAGGAAACUCUGAUGCAGCGACGCCGCGUGAGUGAUGAAGAUCUUCGGAUUGUAAAACUCUGUCCUUAGUGAAGAUAAUGACAGUAACUAAGAAGCAAGCCCUGGCUAAAUACGUGCCAGCAGCCGCGGUAAUACGUAUGGGGCAAGCGUUGUCCGGAAUUAUUGGGCGUAAAGGGUACGUAGGCGGUUUAAUAAGUCCUAAUGAAAAGGCUAUGGCUCAACCAUAGUAUGGUUAGGAAACUGUUGAACUUGAGUAGAUGAGGGGAAAGUGGAAUUCCAUGUGUAGCGGUGAAAUGCGUAGAUAUAUGGAGGAACACCAAUGGCGAAGGCAACUUUCUGGAAUCAAACUGACGCUGAGGUACGAAGGCGUGGGGAGCAAACAGG
RNAcentral lists this ribosomal RNA (403 nucleotides) under Fusobacteriota bacterium. RNAcentral's name for it is "Fusobacteria bacterium partial 16S ribosomal RNA". It matches the Rfam family "Bacterial small subunit ribosomal RNA", at positions 355 to 776 of the family's 1533-position model. Lineage: Bacteria; Fusobacteriati; Fusobacteriota. The record is from RNAcentral.